AUGGCCUCCACCGUCGCGCCCCUGAACGUCGACGUCGUUGCCGUGAACACCACGACGCAGAACAGCAAUGCGUCGACGGCCACAAAGGCGUUCAACCCGGUGGUGUGCUAUUCGCCCAUGAUGAUGACCACCAACGGCAUGUGGCAGGGCGACGGCGUGAACCCGCUCGAGUUCUCCCUCCCGCUCUUCAUCGUCCAGGUGGCCGUCAUCGUCAUCACCACCCGCCUCCUCGUCCUCCUCCUCCGGCCCUUCCGCCAGCCGCGCGUCAUCGCUGAGAUCCUCGCCGGCGUCGUGCUGGGCCCGUCCAUGAUCGGGCAGAGCGAGCUGUGGGCCAGCCUGGUGUUCCCCGUGCGCAGCCUGCUCACGCUCGAGACGGUGGCGCACCUGGGGCUGCUCUUCUUCCUCUUCCUCGUCGGCCUGGAGAUGGACGUCGACGUCAUCCGCCGGUCCGGGGAUAAGGCGGUGUUUGUCGCCAUGGCCGGCAUGGCGCUGCCCUUCUGCAUGGGCAUCGCCACCUCCUUCAUUUUCCGGCACCAGGUGUCCCGGAACGUGCACCAGACCUCCUUCCUGCUCUUCCUCGGCGUCGCCCUCUCCGUCACGGCCUUCCCCGUGCUCGCCCGCAUCCUCGCCGAGAUCAAGCUGCUCAACUCGGAGCUCGGCCGCACCGCCAUGUCCGCCGCCAUCGUCAACGACAUGUGCGCCUGGAUCCUGCUCGCGCUUGCCAUCUCCAUUUCGGAGGUGGACAGCACCGCGCUGUCCUCACUUUGGGUGCUCCUCGCCGGGGUCACCUUCGUGCUCUUCUGCUUCUACGCCGUGCGCCCCUUGAUGUGGCGGAUCAUCCGCAGCAUCCCCGAGGGCGACGACGUCAGCAACGCGCAGAUCACCCUCAUUCUCACGGGCGUCAUGAUCGCCGGCGCGUGUACCGACGCCAUCGGCAUCCACUCCGUCUUCGGCGCCUUCGUCUACGGGCUGGUCAUCCCAAGCGCACCGCUAGGCGUGACGCUGAUCGAGAAGCUCGAGGACUUCGUCACCGGCCUCCUCCUCCCGCUCUUCUUCGCCAUGAGCGGCCUCCGCACCAACGUGCGCAUGAUACGCGACCCCGUCACCGUCGGCCUGCUCGUGCUCGUGUUCGUCAUGGCCAGCUUCGCCAAGAUCAUGGGCACCAUCAUCAUCGCGGCGCUCUACGCCAUGCCAUUCCGCGAGGGCAUCGCCCUCGGCUUCCUCAUGAACACCAGGGGGCUGGUGGAGAUGAUCGUGCUCAACAUCGGGAGGGACAAGCAGGUGCUGGACGACGAGUCGUUCGCGGUGCUGGUGCUGGUGUCGGUGGCGAUGACGUCGCUGGUGACGCCGGUGGUGACGGGCGUGUACCGGCCGUCGCGGCGCCUCGUCGGCUACAAGCGGCGGAACCUGCAGCGCAUCCGGCACGACAGCGAGCUCCGCAUGCUGGCCUGCGUGCACACCACCCGCAACGUGCCGUCCGUGCUGUCGCUGCUUGAGCUCUCCAACCCGUCCAAGCGCUCCCCCAUCUUCAUCUACGCGCUCCACAUCAUCGAGCUCACCGGCCGGGCCUCCAACAUGCUCGCCGCCGCGGCUGCCUCCACCUCCAGCCGGACAAGCUCGUCCUCCGCCUUGCCCGCCACCACGGAGCACAUCUUCAACGCCUUUGAGAACUACGAGAGACUGACGGGAGGCGUGUCCAUCCAGACGCUGGCGGCGGUGUCGCCAUACCAGACCAUGCACGACGACGUGUCGGUGCUGGCCGAGGACAAACACGUGUCGCUCAUCGUGAUCCCUUUCCACAAGCAGCAGACGGUGGACGGCGGCAUGGAGCCCAUCAACCCCUCCAUUAAAUUAUUCAACGAGAGCCUCCUGGCAACCUCCCCAUGCUCGGUGGCCAUCCUCGUGGACCGCGGCCUGAGCGCCGCCGCGGCGCGCAUGGCGACGGAGCACCGCGUGGCGCUCUUCUUCUUCGGCGGGCCCGACGACCGCGAGGCGCUCGCGUACGCGUGGCGGAUGGUCGAGAACCCCGGUGUCUCCCUCACCAUCUUGCGGUUCCUCUCGCCUGACUACCGGGCGGCGGCCCGGUCCUUCUCCGAGGCCUCCUACCGGUCGGCGGCGUCGGGCGGCAUGGACCCGCGCGGGGCGCCGAUGAGCGCGAGCACGGAGGGCAAGAGCGAGCUGCAGAUGGACGAGGAGUACCUGGGCGAGUUCCGCGCGCGCAACCACGGCAACCCCACCAUCACGUACUUGGACAGGUCGGUGGCCAACAGCGAGGAGACGGUGGCCGCCAUCCGGGGCAUGGACAACAGCGCGCACGAGCUGUACAUCGUGGGGCGGCGCCCCGGCGAGGCCGGGUCGCCGAUGACGGCGGCGCUGGAGGACUGGAUGGAGUCGCCGGAGCUGGGGCCCAUCGGCGACAUGCUCGUGUCGUCCGACUUCUCCAUGGCGGUGUCGGUGCUGGUGGUGCAGCAGUACGUGGUGGUCGGCGCGCCCAUGCCCGCCCCCAGCAACGACCCGGUGCGCCAGUACGUGGGCAACGCCAACCAACGGUCCGGCGCGUACCGGGCGAACACGGCGUCGUCGGCGAGGGAUAGCAGAUGGUCUAAUGACACCGUAGGAUUCUGA
Molecule: ribosomal RNA, 2625 nt
Filed under: Triticum aestivum (bread wheat)
Lineage: Eukaryota; Viridiplantae; Streptophyta; Magnoliopsida; Poales; Poaceae
Description: partial small subunit ribosomal RNA
Source: RNAcentral